AUUGCUGAUGUUGGUAUGGAUUCAUGGAUGUUAUGUAUAUUGCAUACCUUGUAAUAAGAUAAUAGUAAUACCCUAGUCAGAUGUGUUCAUUUUAGGUUGGUUUUUGUUUCUUGUGGCUGAAGUUAUUGUAAUUGCUAGGUUGGAAAUGGAAUUGUUCUGUACAGGAAGUGGUAUUAGGUUAUAAGUGCAGAUUGGUGUUAUGGUGAGGGAAUACACAUUUCAGAAUGUUUAGCUUGAUAACAUCUCUGAAUAUUAGCGCUCAUUCUCUGUUUUGUUUGAGAAGGCUGUCGGUUGUCUAUUGAUGGUAAUGUUAUACAUUAACAUUCAUAUCGACUGUCUUAUUUUGUAUAUAAGCAUCUGAAAUACUAAACCUGUGAAGUACAAUGCAUGUUUGUAUUAGAUUAUUUUGCUUCACAUCAAGUCAGGUGAUCUUUGUGCUAUUUGCCAGGAAAAGAUGCAUGCUUCAAUUUUGUUGCUUUGCAAACGCUUCUUCUGUGAGGACUGUGUUUCUGAAUGAUGAGUUUUGUAGCUUCUGUUAUGAAUUAAAUGCUCAAAGUGCUGUAAGAGAAUAUUGAAAUGCUUGUUUCUUGUUUGAUAUGGAAUUGUUCAUUGUAUUUAUGCAUUUGAUACCAUCAGAAAUUUUUCAAGAAGUAAAUGGCACACAACCUAUCAACUGUUGCAAGCAUAAUUAUCAUGU
Molecule: unclassified non-coding RNA, 697 nt
Filed under: Hevea brasiliensis (rubber tree)
Lineage: Eukaryota; Viridiplantae; Streptophyta; Magnoliopsida; Malpighiales; Euphorbiaceae
Source: RNAcentral